UGUGACAGAAUAGUGUGAUAAAUUUAAGAUUUAUUUAUAAAGAUAAUCUUUCUUUAGAA
Molecule: transfer RNA, 59 nt
Filed under: Cautires katarinae
Lineage: Eukaryota; Metazoa; Arthropoda; Insecta; Coleoptera; Lycidae
Description: tRNA-Leu
Source: RNAcentral